This is a non-coding RNA of Schistosoma rodhaini, 45 nucleotides long. Lineage: Eukaryota; Metazoa; Platyhelminthes; Trematoda; Strigeidida; Schistosomatidae. The record is from Rfam.
AUCCAGUUCACUAGUCCCAAAUAGGACGAAACGUUCGUCCUGGAU